CGGAGGCAGCAGUGGGGAAUAUUGCGCAAUGGGGGAAACCCUGACGCAGCAACGCCGCGUGGAGGAAGAAGGUCUUCGGAUUGUAAACUCCUGUCUUUUGGGACGAAGAAUGACGGUACCAAAGGAGGAAGCCACGGCUAACUACGUGCCAGCAGCCGCGGUAAUACGUAGGUGGCGAGCGUUGUCCGGAAUUAUUGGGCGUAAAGGGCGCGUAGGCGGCACUUUAAGUCAGAUGUGAAAACCCGAGGCUCAACUUCGGGAAUGCAUUUGAAACUGGAGUGCUAGAGUGCAGGAGAGGAAAGCGGAAUUCCUAGUGUAGCGGUGAAAUGCGUAGAUAUUAGGAGGAACACCAGUGGCGAAGGCGGCUUUCUGGACUGUAACUGACGCUGAGGCGCGAAAGCGUGGGGAGCAAACAGGAUUAGAUACCCUAGUAG
RNAcentral lists this ribosomal RNA (434 nucleotides) under uncultured bacterium. Its description in RNAcentral is "bacterial SSU rRNA". It matches the Rfam family "Bacterial small subunit ribosomal RNA", at positions 343 to 793 of the family's 1533-position model. The record is from RNAcentral.